UCAGGUAAAGAGGUAUACAUGAGAGAGGUAAAGAGGUAUGAGAUCCUUCAAUACGUAGUAUUCUAGGGAAAGUAUCUUGAAGGGAGGUAAUAUCAGUGUUUGAAAGAAUUUAGUAUUUGGCAAUCUCAAAAGCUGGAGAAAGUCCUGUAAGAAAGCUCAUGAAAACCAUUUGCUCUCUCUGGAUUUGCUGAUAUUUGACAUCAGUGUUGAAGGAAUUCAUACACGCAAAGACCAAUUCCCUUUUCUUGAGUGCAAAAUUCAAGGUUAAAGAUCGUGGUUGGCUGCUCGAAAACCAGAGGAGUAGCAUCAGAGCAGAAGAUAUUAUUUUGGUAGUGGUAGGAUUAGUUUUAUGUAAUUAAG
Jatropha curcas is the source of this 360-nucleotide non-coding RNA. NCBI's taxonomy places the organism in Eukaryota, Viridiplantae, Streptophyta, Magnoliopsida, Malpighiales, Euphorbiaceae. The record is from RefSeq and is a predicted model, not a curated record.